UUUUUUUUUUUUUUUUUUUUUUUUUUAAACACUGAGAGAAGUUUUAAGCUAGGCUCAUUGCUCCUCUUUUAAAAUAUCAUUUGGGGAAGGGAAGACAGGGUUAAGGAACUUUAUGUAAAAAAAAAAAAAUUUUUUUUUUCAAGAAGCCCCACAGACUUUAAAAGGGGAGGAGGGUUCUUCGCCCCGGGAAGCAAUGGCCAUAGCCUGUUUCCAGCUGAGACCUUGCAGCCUGUGUCUGUCACUCUAGGAGGCACUCUUCUGCAGCAGUGGGGGCCUGGAGCCCACAGGAGGGGCUUCCUGGGAGGAAAAUGACAUCAACUGCGGGACACACGGGCUGAGGUCAUAGAGAAGUGCCGAGCAACGCAUCAGGGAUGCGAUGACCCCGGCCUCGGAGAGGAAUACAUCUGCCUUUAACUGCCAGAUCCAGUGAUGAUCUAGACGCCUGCUCAGGGGCUCUCCUAGAGAGCUCUGGCUCUCAGCCACCCCUUUGGCCACUUUUCUCCUGGAAGGGUCCGGCUCCAAGAGUUGGGCGUGGUCUUUGGCUCUGCAGUUGCCUAUCUGCUUCCUGGCUUCACUCUUACCAAAGGUUUUCUUUCAGAGGGGAGAGCAUCACCAUUAGCAGUGACCUGUUGGGCAUUCCCUGUGGUUUCAGGCUGAGUCUGAUGACAGGAAGAUCUGUGUCAGCAGUUACUCCUACCCACUCACCUGCACAAAGAGUCAGGACUCAGCAGUCCACCCAGGAAGCUUCCUUUCCUGACUUCUCUCUCUCCUGGUCCCUCGGAGGACUGAAAGCCACCAAAGCUGGGUCGUUGCGCCCUGCCUGCAUGGCUGGCUGAGGAUCCCUGAGCUCAUUCCCACUUAAGGACCUGCUAUGCGAGGGCAGUGCUAAGCUUGGGCUCAGGCUGUUGGCACUGCAGCGCAGUCCUACCCCAGUGCCACCUGGGAAACCUGAGUAGACUCAGGCCAUGGGGGCAGAGCUGCACAUGUCUCUUGUAGGGAGGCUGGAGGACCAAGGGCCGCAUCUAUUGUUGGGAUGGAUGGAGCUGGAAUAUCAGAGCCAGGCGAGCGGGAGCACGGGCCAUCUGUGUUUAUUCAUUCACUCCUUUCCUCAGCCAGUGGAGUCCUGUCACCCCAUGUACUCUGCUGUCUGUGUGCCCAGAGAAUCCUAACUCAUAGGAUGCACCAGGGUGUCCUAUACCCCUGGCCAACCUGAGGUCUCUUCCACUCACAGAAUUUACUCCGAGAAGCCUGGUGAUGGCGGCUCUCAGUGAUAAGGGAAAAAGGCAUCAGACUUCUAGUUCCUUAGGAAACUCUUAGUUCUCUGUAGGUGCAGCAUGCUCCCAGGUCUCUAGACGAGGUGCCUAGCUGUGUUCCUGAGAGACCUAAGUGCCAGGUAGAGCAAAACCAUGUGGUGGGUGUGAGGCAACCGUAGCAGGUGCGCACACUUCCACAGCUACCUCUCUAUAUCCAGUCACCACCUACAGACAGGCUCCACCCAUCCCCACCCCUCCCCUCCUCAUUUAGAAUCACUUCUUGCAGAGGGCCAUAAUUGUUUCCAAAUAUUACUGGUCUGAUGACUUCCUCCUCCCGGUGCAAUUUUUCACUUCCUCUUCCAGCCUCUGGUUCCUGGGCAGAGCCAUACCCUGGAACUGGCCCAGUCUGCAUGUCUUCCCAGCAGAGGAGGACUCUGCAGACGGCAUCCAAGUGGGUGGCCAAGUCACAGCCGCCAUAGCAGAUGACUCCUAUUUAUUUUGCAUUAAGAUUUUAAUUUGUAUAUUUUUGUGAUUUAUUUUGGCAUUGUUAUGAGUUUGACUCUCGGGGAGUUUUGUUGUUAUGACUCUUGUGUCUUUUGUCACAAAACAAUGAUAAUAUUUGCUAAACAAUAUAUGGACUUUAUUUUUGAUUGGUAAUAAAAAAUGAAAUGUAUAUAAGUUUUGGUGAGC
This 1943-nucleotide long non-coding RNA is filed under the name Mus musculus (house mouse). RNAcentral describes it as "long non-coding RNA chr1:36506833-36508776". Lineage: Eukaryota; Metazoa; Chordata; Mammalia; Rodentia; Muridae. The record is from RNAcentral.